This 323-nucleotide ribosomal RNA is filed under the name uncultured Enterobacteriaceae bacterium. Its description in RNAcentral is "bacterial SSU rRNA". It matches the Rfam family "Bacterial small subunit ribosomal RNA", at positions 355 to 658 of the family's 1533-position model. The record is from RNAcentral. Lineage: Bacteria; Pseudomonadati; Pseudomonadota; Gammaproteobacteria; Enterobacterales; Enterobacteriaceae.
UGGGAAGUAUUGCAUCAAUGGCAGGCAAGCCAUGGCUGGCAGCCAUGCCGCGCUGUAUGAAGAAGGCCAAUUCGGGCUUGGUUAAAGAUACUUUCAGCGAGGAGGAAGGCGUUGUGGUUAAUAACCGCAGCGAUUGACGUUACUCGCAGAAGAAGCACCGGCUAACUCCGUGCCAGCAGCCGCGGUAAUACGGAGGGUGCAAGCGUUAAUCGGAAUUACUGGGCGUAAAGCGCACGCAGGCGGUCUGUCAAGUCGGAUGUGAAAUCCCCGGGCUCAACCUGGGAACUGCAUCCGAAACUGGCAGGCUAGAGUCUUGUAGAGGG